GCUAGCUUCAGCAGCAGGUAUUUAAAUUGGAAUGAUACAGAGAGGAUUAGCCGAGUCCCUGCAUGAGGAGAGCGAGCAAAUUCAUGAAGCCUUCCAAUAUUUA
Molecule: small nuclear RNA, 103 nt
Organism: Lutra lutra (Eurasian river otter)
Lineage: Eukaryota; Metazoa; Chordata; Mammalia; Carnivora; Mustelidae
Source: RefSeq, a predicted model, not a curated record